UUUUCAUCAGACAAUCUGUGUGAGCACUNNNNNNNNNNNNNNNNNNNNUUCUUUAAGGUAAGGAGGUGAUCCAACCGCAGGUUCCCCUACGGUUACCUUGUUACGACUUCACCCCAGUCAUGAAUCACAAAGUGGUAAGCGCCCUCCCGAAGGUUAAGCUACCUACUUCUUUUGCAACCCACUCCCAUGGUGUGACGGGCGGUGUGUACAAGGCCCGGGAACGUAUUCACCGUGGCAUUCUGAUCCACGAUUACUAGCGAUUCCGACUUCAUGGAGUCGAGUUGCAGACUCCAAUCCGGACUACGACGCACUUUAUGAGGUCCGCUUGCUCUCGCGAGGUCGCUUCUCUUUGUAUGCGCCAUUGUAGCACGUGUGUAGCCCUGGUCGUAAGGGCCAUGAUGACUUGACGUCAUCCCCACCUUCCUCCAGUUUAUCACUGGCAGUCUCCUUUGAGUUCCCGGCCGGACCGCUGGCAACAAAGGAUAAGGGUUGCGCUCGUUGCGGGACUUAACCCAACAUUUCACAACACGAGCUGACGACAGCCAUGCAGCACCUGUCUCACGGUUCCCGAAGGCACAUUCUCAUCUCUGAAAACUUCCGUGGAUGUCAAGACCAGGUAAGGUUCUUCGCGUUGCAUCGAAUUAAACCACAUGCUCCACCGCUUGUGCGGGCCCCCGUCAAUUCAUUUGAGUUUUAACCUUGCGGCCGUACUCCCCAGGCGGUCUACUUAACGCGUUAGCUCCGGAAGCCACGCCUCAAGGGCACAACCUCCAAGUAGACAUCGUUUACGGCGUGGACUACCAGGGUAUCUAAUCCUGUUUGCUCCCCACGCUUUCGCACCUGAGCGUCAGUCUUUGUCCAGGGGGCCGCCUUCGCCACCGGUAUUCCUCCAGAUCUCUACGCAUUUCACCGCUACACCUGGAAUUCUACCCCCCUCUACAAGACUCAAGCCUGCCAGUUUCGAAUGCAGUUCCCAGGUUGAGCCCGGGGAUUUCACAUCCGACUUGACAGACCGCCUGCGUGCGCUUUACGCCCAGUAAUUCCGAUUAACGCUUGCACCCUCCGUAUUACCGCGGCUGCUGGCACGGAGUUAGCCGGUGCUUCUUCUGCGGGUAACGUCAAUUGCUGCGGUUAUUAACCACAACACCUUCCUCCCCGCUGAAAGUACUUUACAACCCGAAGGCCUUCUUCAUACACGCGGCAUGGCUGCAUCAGGCUUGCGCCCAUUGUGCAAUAUUCCCCACUGCUGCCUCCCGUAGGAGUCUGGACCGUGUCUCAGUUCCAGUGUGGCUGGUCAUCCUCUCAGACCAGCUAGGGAUCGUCGCCUUGGUGAGCCGUUACCUCACCAACAAGCUAAUCCCAUCUGGGCACAUCUGAUGGCAAGAGGCCCGAAGGUCCCCCUCUUUGGUCUUGCGACGUUAUGCGGUAUUAGCCACCGUUUCCAGUAGUUAUCCCCCUCCAUCAGGCAGUUUCCCAGACAUUACUCACCCGUCCGCCACUCGUCAGCAAAGCAGCAAGCUGCUUCCUGUUACCGUUCGACUUGCAUGUGUUAGGCCUGCCGCCAGCGUUCAAUCUGAGCCAUGAUCAAACUCUUCAAUUUAAAAGUUUGAUGCUCAAUGAAUUAAACUUCGUAAUGAAUUACGUGUUCACUCUUGAGACUUGGUAUUCAUUUUUCGUC
Molecule: ribosomal RNA, 1678 nt
Filed under: Salmonella enterica subsp. enterica serovar Paratyphi A
Lineage: Bacteria; Pseudomonadati; Pseudomonadota; Gammaproteobacteria; Enterobacterales; Enterobacteriaceae
Description: 16S ribosomal RNA
Source: RNAcentral